RNAcentral lists this ribosomal RNA (577 nucleotides) under uncultured bacterium. Its description in RNAcentral is "bacterial SSU rRNA". It matches the Rfam family "Bacterial small subunit ribosomal RNA", at positions 91 to 650 of the family's 1533-position model. The record is from RNAcentral.
GCGAGCGGCGGAUGGGUGAGUAACACGCUGGGGAACCUGCCCCUAAGUCUGGGAUACCAUUUGGAAACGGGUGCUAAUACCGGAUAAUAAAGCAGAUCGCAUGAUCAGCUUUUGAAAGGCGGCGUAAGCUGUCGCUAAGGGAUGGCCCCGCGGUGCAUUAGCUAGUUGGUAAGGUAACGGCUUACCAAGGCGACGAUGCAUAGCCGAGUUGAGAGACUGAUCGGCCACAUUGGGACUGAGACACGGCCCAAACUCCUACGGGAGGCAGCAGUAGGGAAUCUUCCACAAUGGACGCAAGUCUGAUGGAGCAACGCCGCGUGAGUGAAGAAGGUUUUCGGAUCGUAAAGCUCUGUUGUUGGUGAAGAAGGAUAGAGGUAGUAACUGGCCUUUAUUUGACGGUAAUCAACCAGAAAGUCACGGCUAACUACGUGCCAGCAGCCGCGGUAAUACGUAGGUGGCAAGCGUUGUCCGGGAUUUAUUGGGCGUAAAGCGAGCGCAGGCGGAAAAAUAAGUCUAAUGUGAAAGCCCUCGGCUUAACCGAGGAACUGCAUCGGAAAACUGUUUUUUCUUGAGUGCA